This 581-nucleotide ribosomal RNA is filed under the name uncultured Spiroplasma sp. RNAcentral describes it as "bacterial SSU rRNA". It matches the Rfam family "Bacterial small subunit ribosomal RNA", at positions 138 to 707 of the family's 1533-position model. Lineage: Bacteria; Bacillati; Mycoplasmatota; Mollicutes; Entomoplasmatales; Spiroplasmataceae. The record is from RNAcentral.
GGGGAAUAACUGUUGGAAACGACAGCUAAUACCGCAUAAUAUUGCUGGAUAAUUUCCAGUAAUGAAAGGAGCUUUCAAGCUCCGCUGAUUGAUGAGGAUGCGGCGCAUUAGCUAGUUGGUAGGGUAAUGGCCUACCAAGGCAAUGAUGCGUAGCCGAUCUGAGAGGAUGAACGGCCACAUUGGGACUGAGACACGGCCCAAACUUCUACGGAAGGCAGCAGUAGGGAAUUUUUCACAAUGGGCGAAAGCCUGAUGGAGCAAUGCCGCGUGACUGAUGAAGGUCUUCGGAUUGUAAAGGUCUGUUGUAAGGGAAGAAAUGGUAAAACAGGAAAUGGUUUUAUCUAUGACGGUACCUUACCAGAAAGCCACGGCUAACUAUGUGCCAGCAGCCGCGGUAAUACAUAGGUGGCAAGCGUUAUCCGGAUUUAUUGGGCGUAAAGGGUGCGUAGACGGUUUUGCAAGUCUGAGGNUAAAUUUANGAGCUCAACUCCUAAUCGCCUUGGAAACUACNAGACUAGAGUAUAGGAGANGNUAGUGGAAUUCCAUGUGUAGCGGUGGAAUGUGUAGAUAUAUGGAGGAAC